This 268-nucleotide ribosomal RNA is filed under the name Dendrobium palpebrae. RNAcentral's name for it is "partial 26S ribosomal RNA". It matches the Rfam family "Eukaryotic large subunit ribosomal RNA", at positions 1 to 263 of the family's 3401-position model. Lineage: Eukaryota; Viridiplantae; Streptophyta; Magnoliopsida; Asparagales; Orchidaceae. The record is from RNAcentral.
GCGACCCCAGGAUGGGCGAGGCCACCCGCCGAGUUUAAGCAUAUCAAUAAGCGGAGGAGAAGAAACUUACAAGGAUUCCCAUAGUAACGGCGAGCGAACUGGGAUAGGCCCAGCAUUGGAAUCGGGCCGCCAUGCAGCGGCUCGAAUUGUAGUCUGGAGAAGCGUCCUCAGCGACGGACCGGGCCCAAGUCCCUUGGAAAGGGGCGCCGGGGAGGGUGAGAGCCCCGUUCGGCCUGAACCCUGUCGCAACACGAGGCGUUGUCGGCGA